CCUUCGAUAGCUCAGUUGGUAGAGCGGAGGACUGUAGGAGUGACAAUACCUAGCUAUCCUUAGGUCGCUGGUUCGAUUCCGGCUCGAAGGA
RNAcentral lists this transfer RNA (91 nucleotides) under Monodelphis domestica (gray short-tailed opossum). It matches the Rfam family "tRNA". Rfam says of the family: Transfer RNA (tRNA) molecules are approximately 80 nucleotides in length. Their secondary structure includes four short double-helical elements and three loops (D, anti-codon, and T loops). The record is from Rfam by way of RNAcentral. Lineage: Eukaryota; Metazoa; Chordata; Mammalia; Didelphimorphia; Didelphidae.